AAAAAUGAAAAAUUAAUCGUCUUCUUAAUCUAAUACAGUCAUUAGGAUCAUAAUACGAAGGUGGCAAUAAUUGGCCGAAACGCAAACAGCGGCUGCGGAAAAGGAGCGAGAGACUGUGCCAAUCGGUUUGUUUCCGGUGAUAUAGGCGUCAACUGGUCUUUGGGGUGCUCUGGGCUCCGCGAGCAGCUCACCGUAUCAAAAUGUGUGAGUGCCCUUCACGCG
Molecule: non-coding RNA, 222 nt
Organism: Caenorhabditis elegans
Lineage: Eukaryota; Metazoa; Nematoda; Chromadorea; Rhabditida; Rhabditidae
Source: Ensembl